UGCAUGCACGCAUGGACACAUUCAGAA
This 27-nucleotide non-coding RNA is filed under the name Mus musculus (house mouse). The record is from RNAcentral. Lineage: Eukaryota; Metazoa; Chordata; Mammalia; Rodentia; Muridae.